CUGCAGUCGAGCGGAUGAGAGGAGCUUGCUCUUCGAUUCAGCGGCGGACGGGUGAGUAAUGCCUAGGAAUCUGCCUAGUAGUGGGGGACAACGUUUCGAAAGGAACGCUAAUACCGCAUACGUCCUACGGGAGAAAGUGGGGGAUCUUCGGACCUCACGCUAUUAGAUGAGCCUAGGUCGGAUUAGCUAGUUGGUAGGGUAAAGGCCUACCAAGGCGACGAUCCGUAACUGGUCUGAGAGGAUGAUCAGUCACACUGGAACUGAGACACGGUCCAGACUCCUACGGGAGGCAGCAGUGGGGAAUAUUGGACAAUGGGCGAAAGCCUGAUCCAGCCAUGCCGCGUGUGUGAAGAAGGCCUUCGGGUCGUAAAGCACUUUAAGUUGGGAGGAAGGGCUCAUAGCGAAUACCUGUGAGUUUUGACGUUACCAACAGAAUAAGCACCGGCUAACUUCGUGCCAGCAGCCGCGGUAAUACGAAGGGUGCAAGCGUUAAUCGGAAUUACUGGGCGUAAAGCGCGCGUAGGUGGCUUGAUAAGUUGGAUGUGAAAUCCCCGGGCUCAACCUGGGAACUGCAUCCAAAACUGUCUGGCUAGAGUGCGGUAGAGGGUAGUGGAAUUUCCAGUGUAGCGGUGAAAUGCGUAGAUAUUGGAAGGAACACCAGUGGCGAAGGCGACUACCUGGACUGACACUGACACUGAGGUGCGAAAGCGUGGGGAGCAAACAGGAUUAGAUACCUUGG
RNAcentral lists this ribosomal RNA (739 nucleotides) under Pseudomonas oryzihabitans. RNAcentral describes it as "bacterial SSU rRNA". It matches the Rfam family "Bacterial small subunit ribosomal RNA", at positions 55 to 790 of the family's 1533-position model. Lineage: Bacteria; Pseudomonadati; Pseudomonadota; Gammaproteobacteria; Pseudomonadales; Pseudomonadaceae. The record is from RNAcentral.